GACGAACGCUGGCGGCGUGCCUAAUACAUGCAAGUAGAACGCUGAAGGAAGGAGCUUGCUCUUUCUGGAUGAGUUGCGAACGGGUGAGUAACGCGUAGGUAACCUGCCUGGUAGCGGGGGAUAACUAUUGGAAACGAUAGCUAAUACCGCAUAAAAUUGAUUAUUGCAUGAUAGUCAAUUAAAAGGUGCAACUGCACCACUACCAGAUGGACCUGCGUUGUAUUAGCUAGUUGGUGGGGUACCGGCUCACCAAGGCGACGAUACAUAGCCGACCUGAGAGGGUGAUCGGCCACACUGGGACUGAGACACGGCCCAGACUCCUACGGGAGGCAGCAGUAGGGAAUCUUCGGCAAUGGACGGAAGUCUGACCGAGCAACGCCGCGUGAGUGAAGAAGGUUUUCGGAUCGUAAAGCUCUGUUGUAAGAGAAGAACGAGUGUGAGAGUGGAAAGUUCACACUGUGACGGUAUCUUACCAGAAAGGGACGGCUAACUACGUG
This 497-nucleotide ribosomal RNA is filed under the name uncultured bacterium. RNAcentral's name for it is "partial 16S ribosomal RNA". It matches the Rfam family "Bacterial small subunit ribosomal RNA", at positions 28 to 507 of the family's 1533-position model. The record is from RNAcentral.